This 447-nucleotide ribosomal RNA is filed under the name uncultured bacterium. RNAcentral's name for it is "bacterial SSU rRNA". It matches the Rfam family "Bacterial small subunit ribosomal RNA", at positions 355 to 825 of the family's 1533-position model. The record is from RNAcentral.
GCGGGAAUUUUGGGCAAUGGGCGAAAGCCUGACCCAGCAACGCCGCGUGAAGGAUGAAGUAUUUCGGUAUGUAAACUUCGAAAGAAUAGGAAGAAUAAAUGACGGUACUAUUUAUAAGGUCCGGCUAACUACGUGCCAGCAGCCGCGGUAAUACGUAGGGACCAAGCGUUGUUCGGAUUUACUGGGCGUAAAGGGCGCGUAGGCGGCAAUUCAAGUCAUCUGUGAAAUCUCCGGGCUUAACUCGGAACGGUCAGAUGAUACUGCUUUGCUAGAGUGCAGAAGGGGCAAUCGGAAUUCUUGGUGUAGCGGUGAAAUGCGUAGAUAUCAAGAGGAACACCUGAGGUGAAGACGGGUUGCUGGGCUGACACUGACGCUGAGGCGCGAAAGCCAGGGGAGCAAACGGGAUUAGAUACCCCCGUAGUCCCUGAGCGGGCUGGCAAGGCGCAU